Molecule: non-coding RNA, 72 nt
Organism: Cordylochernes scorpioides
Lineage: Eukaryota; Metazoa; Arthropoda; Arachnida; Pseudoscorpiones; Chernetidae
Source: the annotation of a GenBank genome assembly
UUUUACGUGGUCUAGUGGUUAGGUUACCUGGCUCUCACUCAGAAGGCCAGGUUUCGAUUCCCGGCGUAGGAA